Molecule: non-coding RNA, 787 nt
Organism: Prunus avium (sweet cherry)
Lineage: Eukaryota; Viridiplantae; Streptophyta; Magnoliopsida; Rosales; Rosaceae
Source: RefSeq, a predicted model, not a curated record
UUAAGCCUUUUGUGUGAUGGUUUAUCAUCUGAUUGGGUUCUAUAUUUGAGCUUAUGGAUUGGUUCAUGGUGGAUUUGAUUUUGCACUCAGAGUUGCUUGGGUGAAACUGAUGACUCUGUGCAUUGCAGUACUACAACAACAAAAUGGCGGAAUUACAUCUAUUCGUGGACUUUGAAAUAGAAACAAGGCUUGUCAUUGGCCUUGCUGUUGUCGUGGGAUAGAGCCAGCGUAUAUGUACAAAAAGUUACGAAAUAUACAAUAAAGGUGUUCUAUGACGUUCAGUGUUCGUAAAUAUCUUUUGAAGAACAACACUGGAUGUUGACUGACUUUGAAGGUGCUACAAGAAAAAUGAAGUAAGGUUACGCAUCUGGUCUAGCAAAGAGAAAAGGUUUGAAGCUGCAUUUGGAGACUCAUGUGUUUGGCUUGUGAGCUUGAUUUGCUUCCCUAGGCUUCCAUGAAAAUUUUGAUCUAGGAUGCAGUGAUUUGAGGUGUAACUUUGCGCUUACUAGAUCUCUCAACUCAAUCUUAGAUGAAGUCGGUUUUAGCAGAACAUGACUAUAUGUAAAGACCUAUCCAAACUCUUUUGAACAAUGAGCAGCUCAGUAUUGUCGAUAUUUUGAUGUUUUGACUGCUACUUGAUUUAUUAAAAUAUGGCCAAUAUUUUGACAUGACAAACAGCAUAAAAAAACAUGUUAUUAUCCUAUUUUUUGUUACUUAGACUUGCUAAACAAAGCAAGAUACCACUAUUUAGAUCUCCAUGUCAAUAUAAAUAGUACCAUUUUUCCUA